Molecule: ribosomal RNA, 253 nt
Filed under: uncultured bacterium
Lineage: Bacteria
Description: partial 16S ribosomal RNA
Rfam family: Bacterial small subunit ribosomal RNA
Source: RNAcentral
UACGUAGGGGGCAAGCGUUGUCCGGAUUUAUUGGGCGUAAAGAGCGUGUAGGCGGCUUGGUAGGUCCGCUGUGAAAACUCGAGGCUCAACCUCGAGAUGUCGGCGGAAACCACUUGGCUAGAGUCCGGAAGAGGAGAGUGGAAUUCCCGGUGUAGCGGUGAAAUGCGCAGAUAUCGGGAAGAACACCCGUGGCGAAAGCGGCUCUCUGGAACGGUACUGACGCUGAGACGCGAAAGCGUGGGGAGCGAACAGG